GCAAUAUUAAAAUCAUUUUGUUGUCACCAUGUAAGUGUGAAAAGCCAUAAAUAUUUAGUUUUGUUUUUACAAGAUAACCGGUAAAAGGCUUGCCUAAUCCCUGGGGUUGCAGUUGAAGUAAAAAACAAAAAUUUGUCAGAAGGAAGUACUUUCUUUGCUCCAAGUCAACUUCAAGGUAAAUGACCAGUAAUAGGGGGAAAAACAACCAUAUGAAGUCCUCGCAACUCAUUUUUCAGAAUGGAUUCUCCUCGUUGGCUAUGCAAACCAAAUUUAAAAGCUCAAACACUCAUGAAAUCUGCAGUAAUCAUCUCCUGUUGAUGUUUUGAAGUUCCACUCAACUCAUUAAGUAGUGAUUUAUAAGAUGCAUAGUCUGCCACAAGACCCUUUUCACUCUGUAUUUUAUGAAAGUCUUGUAGGUUUCCAUGUUUGCAAUGACCUUCUAAUAAGAUGUUAUAAGUUAUGUCGUCUGGAACUACUCCCAAAUUGAGCAUAGCAUCUAGAAGCACAGCCGCAUUUUUCAUUUGACCUUGCUUGCAAUAUCCAUUCAUAAGCACAUUAUAAGUUACAACUCCUGGUACAUGGCCAUCACUCUGCAUCUCUUUAAGCAACUUAAACCCUGUCUUCACAUCACCCUUCUUACAGAAUCCAUCCAUGAUCAUAGUAUAAAUUGCAUCAUCUGGUCUUAAACCUGCUUUUAGCAUUUCCCUCAAUGUUCUUUCUGCAUCAAUUACCUUUCCUUCUUUACAUAAUCCUGAAAUAAGAGCUGUAAAGGCCACAUUGUCAAGCGCAAUUCCUUCUACAAACAUUUCCUUCCUAAUCUCUAAAGCUGAUACUAAAUCUCCCUCCUUACAAUAACCAUCUAUAAGCGUGGUGUAUGUGAUCUUGUCAGGCUUCAUACCUCUCUUAUUAACUUCUUCAACUAGCUUUUUUGUUUCCCUGAAAUCCCCAACCUUGCAAAGGCCAUUGAUGAGCGUAUUGUAUAAAACUAAAUCAGGUUUCAGCCCUUUUUUCAACAUUAGCUGAUAUAAUUCCAUUGCCAAGUCAAUCCUACCACUCUUGCAUUGCCCAUUAAUUAAUAUGGUAAAAGUAACAUCGUUAGGCGCCAACCCUCUUUUACACAUUUCAUCAAACAGCCGACAGGCAUCAUCCAAUCUACGAUGGUUACACAGCCCAUUAAUCAAAACACUAUAAGUAAAAACAUCAGGAAGAA
This 1210-nucleotide unclassified non-coding RNA is filed under the name Hevea brasiliensis (rubber tree). The record is from RNAcentral. Lineage: Eukaryota; Viridiplantae; Streptophyta; Magnoliopsida; Malpighiales; Euphorbiaceae.